ACAGCCCGGCUGCUAAUGCUGGUUCCCUGAUCGUCUAGCUCUAGUAUGCUGGCUGAUCGGCCUCUGCCUACCUCGUAAAAUACUCUUAAAACUGGUACUCUGUGUUUUACCCACAGGACAGAGACUCCUGAGAGCAGCUUGUCCUGCAGGCUUGGCCCCACAGCUUCUUUGUGGAUCAGGUGCUUUUAUGGUUAGCACUGAAGUUUAGCCUCCUGUCAUUUGUCUUAAUACUGCACAGAGCAAGGCAGGAGGCUUGUUUCUUCUUGCAAGUGAAUGUAGCCAGGAGAUGAAUGUUUGCCAUCUGGAGAGAAAACCAGAACUGGCAGUAACAUGAAGUUGGGGCUGGAGGAAAGAAAAAGGAAGCGCUCAGCUGAGAGAGAACAGCAAGGAGGAGAGAGGCAGGUAGCGAGAUGUCUGUUGUGGUUGUUUUUUGUCUCCUUAUGCAAUAAUCUAAGAAACUCGGGGAAGGAAAUCGCCAAAGCUGCUGCUUUAUUCUUGUUUCACAGCUAGUCUUUGGGUUGUAAGGAAAACCAUGGGAGCUCUGAGCUGCUUUGUUCCAGAAGAGUUUUUUUCCAGGCCCACGUAGAUCACUUAAUACCCAUAAAAGUAACGUGCGUUUACUGUGAUCGGAAAUUUAGAUUUCUACCCAUGUAUUCUCCUGCUUUUGUGUUUUGAUGGCUAAAUUUUUAUCAAAUAUCGGUCUUUUGGUUUUAUUUAUCCUUCAGCGCUAGAUAUCAAAGCCUUUACAUAGUGUGCCACCUACUCAAUAAACCCAAGAGCAGAACCAAGAUCAGAAGACACAGGCAUGCACCAGCUUUGGGGUAAUUGUGCACCGCGUUCAUAUAUAUGCAAAUAUCUGAUACUUGUGACAGCCUGGGACCAGGAUUGGAGACCUCACUCGAACCUCUGAAAUCGGGAGCCUGGUUAUGGGACUGCUGGGUUAUUGUGCAAACUGGUGCUUGAUGUGGGGAAAAAUCACAGUCUGCCUGAAGUAAAAUUAUAGCUGCUGAAACCUCCAUGCUGGAAAUAAUGUAGGUUAGAAAGAAAUCCGGAACAGCUGGUACAUUACAGUAAACUUACAGUUUGUUCUGCUGGGGCUGAAGACACAGCGUGUUACUGCGAAUGCUGUUUCGCCAUGGAAAGUCUUCACUUGCAGUGAAGAGGCAGGCUGUGACACUGCGGCCAAACACAGGUACCUGCUACCACAAAGCCAUGUACGCAACCACUAAAUACAAUGCUCUUUGAUCCAGCUUUUAAUAAGAAAUACAAAGAAUUUAAUCACUUAAAAAAAUCUAGCUAAUUCAUUGUCUAAAUUAGGAGUACAGCCAAAUGAAACGAAAACUAACACAAAAAAAGCAAGUUCAAGCCAUUUGUGGGAAGGGAAAUGACCUUCGCUGCCACCUCCUUCUUAGUAUUCCCAAUAGCAUCCAGGACUGAGCCUGCAUCCAGGAAAAAAAAUUGGCGUAUUUCAGUCCUUAACAAGAACUUUUGAAGCUGGAGCAUGAACUGCUGAGGUGUGAGGAGACAGGCAGGCCCCUGACCGUGCUCGCGCUGCUUGGUCCUGCUGGCUACAGGGGUGACAAUGAGCAGCGUGGCUGGAGGGAGAGCUCUCCAGAGAUCUGCAUGUGUGGGUCGUGAUGCUGAUGAUAUGCGUUCUAUCUCGGAGCCCCAGCUUUCUUGUAGCCCCUUCAGGUGCUGGAAGGUCACUAUAACAUCUCCUUGGAGACGCUUCUCCAGUCUGAACAACCCCAACUCUCUCAGCCUGUCCUCAUACGGGAGGUGCUCCAGCCCUCGGAUCAUCUUUGUAGCCUCCUUUGGACCCAUUCCAACAGCUCCAUCUCCUUCUUAUGUUGAGGAUUCCAGGACUGGAAGCAAUACUCCAGAUGAGGUCUCACAAGAGAGGAAUAGAGGGGCAGAAUCCCCUCUCUCCCUGCUGGCCACGCUGCUUUGGAUGCAGCCCAGGACACGGGCUGUGUCACCUUGCCAGAAUUGACCUUGUCUCCUUCUCAGGCUGAUGGUGUUUCUGGGCAGGCCAAAGGGAGAUGCGGGUUAGCCACCUUGGGGCAAAACAUGGAGGGACUUUGCAGCUCAGAGCCAUUUAAAACAAGGAUAAGGUUGUAUCCCAUCCUAGUUUUAAUAAAUCUGACUUAUCUUUGUCUCCCCAAUGGUUCUUACCCUGACAUGUUCAUUGCUGUCCUUUCUGUUGUUUUCAGGUUUAUGAAGCUCGCUGCAGCAAGAUUUGUAACCGCCAGAUUCCACCUUCAAUCAAAAUCCCUGGGAUUCGUUUAUAGUUUCUUCGUUAAGCUAUUGCUGACUAACGAUAUGAAGUCAAACUUUUCUUUUAGGUGUCUGAAAUGCCAUAGGAAUUUUCUGAUGCAGUUCCAUCUGCCUGUCGAAAAUGGAGGUAAAGACCAGCACAGCCAGUGAAGUAAAUCUAGAGAGUGCAGCAGAGAGAGACCUGUUGGUGGUUCUACUCUACGCCACGCUGCUCUGCCACCACUGGUGCUGUCUGCGAGGCAGGCAACCAAAGCAACAUCUGGGGGAAUUCAGAGAUCCAGCCUCCCAGGAGUGAAGCUGCACUGCGUGAGGACCAAUUUCAGAGUGCUGUUCGUGCUGUGACUGGCUUCAAGGUUGUGCAUUUCAUAUUGCCAGCAGCCCUGGAGCUUUUCUCCAAAAGGUAUUUCUUCCCUCCUCCUUGCCUGUGCUCCUCUUCAAGCUUUUCCUGCUUGGUGAAAAGCAUCACUAUUGGAUCCCUCUUUAAUGGGGAAUAUCACUUUGAUCUGUAGAUCUUGAAUCCACACAAAGUUUGAUCCAAAGCGUGGAAAGGGCUCUGAGAGUACUGAUCACAGCUGGCAGGGCCUGAAUGUCCUGCGCAUUUUCCCUCCACGGUGCUGCGCUGCCUCUCCUUUCCCGCAGUGCGCAUCCAGCAGCGGCAGCCAGGAAGACAAGAGAUGUGAGGGCAGGUUUUGUAUGAAAUAUCAUUCCAUACGGGAGGUCUCUACACGGCAGGAGCAGCAGCUGCCUGCUCCAGGUCUUCAGCGAAGCUCCCAUCCCUGGAGGGGUUCCAGGCCAGGUUGGAUGGGCCUUGGGCAGCCUGAGCCAGUGGGAGGUGUCCCUGCCCAUGGCAGGGGUUGGAACUGGAUGGGCUUUAAGGUCCCUUCCAACCCAAACUAUUCUAUGAUUCAGUGCACACCUGCCCAUAAGAUGCUGUUUGAGGAGCAUCCUAAGGACAGCACCAGGGAAGGUGGGGAACAACGCAGACCUCUGUGCUGUCUGGGAGGGGACAUGGCUCCGGGACUGUUCUCGCAAUUGUUCUUCCUCUGAAUUCACCUCUUCUUCCUGCUCUUCCCACCCUAGGAGAAAGCAGAAAGGGAUCAGAACAAACAGAAGGAAAUCUGUCUCAGAGCUCCUGGCACUGCCUGUGCUCUCAAGGAUGGCAGGGGAGAGCAGCGUACGCAUCACCACUGUGUUUGAGUCCCCACACUGGGAAAGCUAGAGGAAAGGAAAGAUGUUCUGCUGGGUUUGGGUUCCUUCUGAGGAGAACUGGAGGAAACAGAGUGAAUGGUCAGGCUCAGGGCUGGAGUGGUCCAGCAGCAGCAUGAGGGCAAGAGCAAAGCACUCCAUGUGCUGUGGCAGCCUUGAUCCCUUUUCUGAGUGCACUGGAGCUCUGCUCCAUCGGUUCAGGGAGGAGGCAGGCACAGUCCUAUCAGAAGGGAAGCACCUCGAGUUGAUCCUGGGGUCCUUUCUUCACAAAAAGGGUUCUCAGACCCUGGCAGAGGCUGCGCAGGGAGGUGAUGGAGUUCCCAUCCGUGGAGGGGUUUAAAAGACAAGUAGAUGAAAUGCUCGGGGAUCUGGUUUAGUGGUUGACAGGUAUGGUUGGACUCAAUCUCAAAGGUCUUUUCCGACCUAGCGAUUCUAUGACUUUUGUUCAGAUUGAUUAGUAGUGCAAACCAGUGUUCCUGAUGGUUAUAUUAAUAGAAAAUGCCAAUUAAUGUCAGUGUUUUAGCCCAUGUUUCAAAUCACGUAGAGAUCAGAUGUUCAGAAAUAACCCUGGCUUGCAAUGAGAAGCAUAUGACUGUCUUAUUUAUGUGGUGCCAAGUUUUCCACCCUUUUUCCUGAGAGAGCCGCUUUCCUGACUGAAUGUUGAUUGUGAGAACAGCAGAGAGCCUGGCUGACGGAGGGCGAAGGUACGCAGCAAAUACUGCUCCUGUCUCAGUCUGGCAACACUGCUCUCAUGAUUCGUGUCUGUCAUACACAGAUCCUUUGCUUCCUUUUUCAAAUGUGCCUUUGUAAUCUUAAACAAGCACAGCUGCGACUGAAAUUUGAGGCAAAAUUGCACUACAAAUGUUAGCCCUUUCCUUCUUUUCUACUACCACCGUUUGAUUCAUCAUUUGCUUUCCAGUUCAGGUCUGCUGUUUUCUGGUUGGAAUAUUUUUUUAUAGCUCAUUUUAUAAGAAAACCCACACAUAAAGAAAGGAAGAAAGCAACAAAUUCAAAACAAACUCCAGGUGUGGCGGUGGAUUCUUCUGGGCAGAGGGCAGCCUGCCUUCUUCAAGUGUCCAGACCUGUUGCAGAAUAUGUGAGGUAAAAAUAGAGUGCUAAAACAAAGAGGGAGUAAAGAUUACCGUGAGGGACUUGGUGGACUAAAUAUAGACAGUUCUGCCCCUCUCCCAGUGACUUACAGUAAUGGAGAAUAUUCUGCAGCCAGCACAAUUUGGCCAAUACCCAAAGUAUAACACAGAGAUCUGACAGUAGGGAUUGCAGCUAGAAAAUAUGGCAUUCCCUUUGGAACAGCUGUUGUAUUAUACUAAGCCAGUUACUUCCCUUUAAUCCUAAUUAAUACUUUCCCUUUCCCUUCUGAGCUAGGUUCUCUGGUCAGCAGUAAUUCUGGGGGUCUGCUGCUGCUCUCCCUGCAAGAGCCCUCUGUCUUCAUAGAAUUUUCCCUAGGUUGGAAAAGACCUUUGAGA
This is an RNA transcript of Cuculus canorus (common cuckoo), 4967 nucleotides long. RefSeq lists it as uncharacterized. Lineage: Eukaryota; Metazoa; Chordata; Aves; Cuculiformes; Cuculidae. The record is from RefSeq and is a predicted model, not a curated record. The transcript is spliced from 4 exons.